Molecule: ribosomal RNA, 517 nt
Filed under: uncultured bacterium
Lineage: Bacteria
Description: bacterial SSU rRNA
Rfam family: Bacterial small subunit ribosomal RNA
Source: RNAcentral
GACGAAAGUCUGACGGAGCGACGCCGCGUGAGUGAAGAAGGUUUUCGGAUCGUAAAGCUCUGUCUUUGAGGACGAAUGUGUCUAAUGUGAAUAAUGUUAGAUAAUGACGGUACUCGAGGAGGAAGCCACGGCUAACUACGUGCCAGCAGCCGCGGUAAUACGUAGGUGGCAAGCGUUGUCCGGAAUUAUUGGGCGUAAAGCGCGCGCAGGCGGGAUAUUAAGUCUGUUUUAAAAGUUCGGGGCUCAACCCCGUGAUGGAAUGGAAACUAAUAUUCUUGAGUGCAGGAGAGGAAAGUGGAAUUCCCAGUGUAGCGGUGAAAUGCGUAGAUAUUGGGAGGAACACCAGUGGCGAAGGCGACUUUCUGGACUGUGUCUGACGCUGAGGCGCGAAAGCCAGGGGAGUGAACGGGAUUAGAUACCCCGGUAAUCCUGGCCGUAAACGAUGGGUACUAGGUGUAGGAGGUAUCGACCCCUUCUGUGCCGGAGUUAACGCAAUAAGUACCCCGCCUGGGGAGUA